UGGCUCUGGCAUCGAUGAAGAACGCAGCGAAAUGCGAUAAGUAAUGUGAAUUGCAGAACUCAGCGAAUCAUCGAAUCUUUGAACGCACAUUGCGCCCGCCGGUAUUCCGGCGGGCAUGCCUGUUCGAGCGUCAUUUCAACCCUCAAGCCCCGCUUGGUGUUGGGGCCCUACGGUACCCGUAGGCCCUGAAAAUUAGUGGCGGACCCGCCGCGGCUCCGAGCGUAGUAGCUUAACCUCGCUCCGGUCCCGCGGCGCGCCCCUGCCGUAAAACCCCCAAUUUUUUAAGGUUGACCUCGGAUCAGGUAGGAAUACCCGCUGA
RNAcentral lists this unclassified non-coding RNA (319 nucleotides) under uncultured fungus. Its description in RNAcentral is "partial contains 5.8S ribosomal RNA and internal transcribed spacer 2". The stretch from base 1 to 133 matches the Rfam family "5.8S ribosomal RNA", at positions 22 to 154 of the family's 154-position model. Lineage: Eukaryota; Fungi. The record is from RNAcentral.